GAACAUUGAGCUUUUUCUGAGCUAGAGUUUAGUUGUUUUGAAAUCGGAGAAAUGUUAAAUCUAGGCUCAUACCCCCAAAAUCGAAUAUAUUGAGCUCUUCGAAAAUGGUGAUAUGACCCAGCGAGGUGCACUUUUCAAGCCCAAUAGGGAAUGAGCAUCAUGUGAAACACAUAGUGUACAAAAAAUUGAUAUAUUCAAUUUUUUGUAAUUGAUUUUAAUAAAAACAAAUACAUAAUCCGAUUUCUUUGUAAACAAGUACAUUUUUACUUGUUUAUUUAAUGUAAACUAUGUUCAUAUUUCACACUUUCAGCAAGUUAACAUUGAGAGCAAGUCAUACCAGUAUCAGAGAGCCAAGAGCCGUAAAUACAAAGGCCUAUACAUAAAGAAAGAAUGCCUUAAAAGUUUUCCACAAGACAUCACUGUAUUUAUUAAUGACAGCCAACAAACUGUAACUAGACAGUGGCCUAGGGCAAAUGCCCAUCUACCAUUGCCAAUCUGCUACUGGACUGACUUUCUGCCAGUUACAGCUGUUGACCAGAUAGCCGACAAACUGUAACUAAACAGUGGCCUAGGGCAAAGCCGGAAAUGCCCAUCUACCAUUGCCAAUCUGCUACUGGACUGACUUUCUGCCAGUUACAGCUGUCGACCAGAUAGCCGACAAACUGCAACAAGACAUUGGCUAGGGCAAAGCUGGAAACACCCAUCUGCCAUUGCCAGCCUACUACUGGACUGACAUUAUGCCAGUUACAGCUGUCGACCAGGCCAUAUGAUGAGUUUUCCCAGUUCUAGACGAAGUAAGCGAGUCCAAGUAAAAAAAAUGCUGCUGACAGUUGCAUCAGAAAUGUUGAAUCUAAAUGCAAGGUCAUGAACUAAAAGACCAAGUCUUAAUCUCAUCAAUACCAGCAACAACUCAAGCUCUAGAGAUAGUUUUCUUCUUGGACCAGGGCGUUUGAAGGAGUUGUCCCACUGG
Molecule: long non-coding RNA, 970 nt
Organism: Saccostrea cuccullata (small rock oyster)
Lineage: Eukaryota; Metazoa; Mollusca; Bivalvia; Ostreida; Ostreidae
Exons: 6
Source: RefSeq, a predicted model, not a curated record